Molecule: transfer RNA, 87 nt
Filed under: Streptomyces sp. 1-11
Lineage: Bacteria; Bacillati; Actinomycetota; Actinomycetes; Kitasatosporales; Streptomycetaceae
Description: tRNA-Ser
Source: RNAcentral
CGUGGCGGUAGUGCAGCGGCAGGCCCACCGCUUCGAGGACGGUGCGGUGGCGGUCCGCCGUCGCGUCGUCCAACCGGCCCGCCAGGC